ACGCACUGCGCCCUGACUCCGCAUACAACGCUCAUUCCUCUCUUUGGCUCGUGAAGUCGUGAUGAAACCCUUCCUUGUCUCUCCCUCUCUCGAUCUACGCCGCCAGCUCCCUUCCCUCGAUCUGCACUCGGCUCUUCCACUGCGGCACAGCAAGGGAGGAAGAUGGGAUUGGCGGGCGAGCGGCUGCGGGGCGCGGGCGGCCUGCGGCGGGCGAGGGCCUGUCGGUCGCGGCCGCGGGCGAGGGCCUGCGGGGCGGCGAAGAGGGGAUACUCCAGCGGGCUACCAGCGGCGGGAGAGGCUUAGCGCCUGCUUCUUCUCCUGAAGGUACGAACCGGCCCUUCUCCCACCUUGUAUAUUUGCAGCUUGUCCCGUCUUUCCUACCCAGCCGAGAGAGAGAUAGAUAGGAUAUUGAGAUGGCACUCAUGGCUAUUUUUAAUUAAUUUUGUACCUCUGUGUUGUUCAAACAACUGGGCUCACACCUGACUGCCAUAAGAGCAAGCUGAAAAUGGUGUAAUCGACUGUAAUCCAGCGAGAAGCUAGGAUGACUCUUCUUGCGCACGGCUGUAAUCGAUUUCUGCAAAUAUGUAGUUGCAAUACUAUUAGUUUACAUGACCAACCAGCUUAAAUCUAGCAAUACUUAUCCGGAAUGGAAUAACGUGUCCAGCCAACUUAACAUAUUCUUUUAAUUGUACAGCUCCAACUAGAAAGCUAUCUUUUGCGCGGAAAUUAGUUGUAAAUUAAAUUAAUAACCGGGAAAUUGUCUCUUCUUGGAAUGUUAUGAUAAAAAUCAACAAUUUUAAUGAUGGAGAUCUGCUUCAGUUGUAUGCUCUCUUGUAGCAAGGAAAGUGUGCUGGAUGGUUUAUCCCCUAUGUGCUUGGUUAUGUCUUAAGGUUCAAACGAAAGAAGUACUGAAACUCUGAAAGUCUGUUCUUUCCAUGCCACCAAACUGCUAGAUUGAACAACUAGCACGAGAGAUUUAUUGUGCAACUAAUGGAUAGUUUCAGUUUUUAGAUCAAAAAUAUUUCCUACAAUACUUGUUAAACUACUUCGGAGUGGAAUUAAUGUAGCUCUUUUGGUUCCCUUAUUUUUUUCAGGAUCAUCGCCAACUCACUGCUGCUCAUAGAGGUGAGUCAAAGGCUGUAACAAUCUCUGUUAUUAUUUUGCUGCUCAGUUAGGAGUUCGAGAAAUCAUAAAUUACCUGACAGAUAAUGCAACCAAAACACAAGAAGAGAAACAUAUAUGGUGAUGAUGUCUAUCAUGCUUUUGCAGGUAGUAGUAUGCAUCCACACAAUUCAAAUUCAUGUUCAGGAAGGAUAUUGACCAACUAACCAUGUAUUAAUUGUAUAGUUAAAUUUGUUGUUUUACUUCUAUCCGAACUGAGUUCUAACAAUCAAUAUUUGAUUCUGCUACAGACUUCCAAGGACAGUUACAACAAUUCUGGAGCAUGUAUCGUCCUCAAUCCUCCUGAUUUUGCUACCGCCAUUUCCAUAGUAUUCAAGAUGUAAAACCUCGACCUGUGGUAUGUGAUUAAUAUUGGGUUCCUAAGCUUGAAAUGUUUAUGGCAUGAAUAGUACUUGAUUCUAUCAUGUUUAUGUAGUAUCAAUUAUUUUUGCUGGAAGACUACCGUGAGGAAAAUGAUGUACAAGAGGAAGUCAAGGAAAGAGGUGUUGCCCUGAAGGAUCUCAUCGAGUGUAGGCGCGAGCGUGUGCCCGAAAGGGAUGAGGCGGUGGAGGCAUGGAGGGGUGUCGUUAUUGUGUACACAAGACAUGACUUCAGGAGACGUGCAACGCACGUGCAAGCUUACUAGUAGACACUAAAACAAGCAACUCGACACACUAUGCAACCGAAAAUUCAACAAUGCAAAAACGAAGUGGUAAUAGGGAAAAGGCUCAAACUGUCUGGGACAUAGAUGAACUAAUCUAACUUUUUGUGGCUUUUUCGUGGACUAUAUGUAUGAAGAACGGAUGCAAUCUAGACUACGAAAAACUGAAAAAUCUCGUCGAGCAACCUGAAAAACCGAUACCACUUGCUAGAAGCGAGGGUCUCGAUCUUUCGAUGAGAUGAUAAUUAUCGAUAUGGUGGAGAUGAC
This 2089-nucleotide long non-coding RNA is filed under the name Triticum aestivum (bread wheat). Its description in RNAcentral is "long non-coding RNA (TAES_LNC017638)". The record is from RNAcentral. Lineage: Eukaryota; Viridiplantae; Streptophyta; Magnoliopsida; Poales; Poaceae.